UACGAAGGGGGCUAGCGUUGUUCGGAAUUACUGGGCGUAAAGCGCACGUAGGCGGAGUUGCCAGUCAGAGGUGAAAUCCCAGGGCUCAACCCUGGAACUGCCUUUGAUACAGCAACUCUUGAGUCCGAUAGAGGUGAGUGGAAUUCCUAGUGUAGAGGUGAAAUUCGUAGAUAUUAGGAAGAACACCAGUGGCGAAGGCGGCUCACUGGAUCGGUACUGACGCUGAGGUGCGAAAGCGUGGGGAGCAAACAGG
This 253-nucleotide ribosomal RNA is filed under the name uncultured bacterium. RNAcentral describes it as "partial 16S ribosomal RNA". It matches the Rfam family "Bacterial small subunit ribosomal RNA", at positions 524 to 776 of the family's 1533-position model. The record is from RNAcentral.